ACUGUGGACGUCACAGCACAGCAGUACAGUGCAGAGUGUCGUAUGGUUUUUGUACAGUGUUUCUCAGUUUCCUGUCAUUGUGGGCUCCACAGUACAGUAGUACAGAGCAGUUCAACAGAGGAGAUCUCCAGAUCUGUAUAGGUCUUCUCUUUGUUCAGUUUAACAGUGAGGUGAGAGGAUGGAGGUUUAUCUCUCACUACAGUCCUAGAGGCAUGGAGGAUGAAGAGGAGGACUUGGGGAACUGAUCCUGGAUAAUGUUUAUACCACAGUACACUCACUGUAUGCUGAGGAGUAGUUUCAGUUUGACUGACAGUGGAGGAUCCAGACCUGGAGCCCGUGAUGGAGACCCAACACCAUGCAGGAUAAGCAGGAUAUACUGAGGAGGUGAUCCAGGGUCCUGGAGAUACCAUUGAAGAGAGACUGCAGAUGAUUCUGAAUGGACCAUCUCUUCUCAAACCUUUGAAGCCCCACCCCAAAUACAGAGAGUUGUCAGAUGAGCAGAAGUAACAACAGAUGUCUUGUUGCUGCUUGAUUCCACUGUCACAUCCUGAAAAUGUAGGGCUGCACUGAAUACCUUAGUCUCCCUCUAUUGCAUAUUACAUAAAACUGUUUGUUUAUCUCACUUUUUCAUUUGUUUCAACAAAUAAUUCACUGUUCAUUUCCAGCCUAUGUCACGACAUCCACCGAAGGUGGCUCCUCUCCCUGUCCGGGCGGUGCUCGGCGGUCGUCGUCGCCGCCCUACUAGCUGCCACCGAUCCAUUUUUCCUUUUCGUUUGUGUCUGUCUGUUUUAUCACACCUGUGUUCAUUUAGUUGAUUUCGAUGGGUUUAUUUACACCCCGCUGCCUGCUAGUCUUUGUGCGGGAUUAUUCUGUGUUACUUUGUUAAGGGUGCGUGUAUUGCACCACGGGGUUUUCUUUGCUCACGGUAAUGGUACCGUUUUGAUUUAUUUUAGUCUAGGACUUAAGUUUCUCCUCCGUGUGUUGCGUUUCUUCACUGUGUGUGGCGACUUCGUUUCAGCGUGUUUUCCCACAUGUUGUUGUUUGUUUGGGACUCCUUAAAUAAACAAUUGUGCCACUGGGA
This is a non-coding RNA of Salmo salar (Atlantic salmon), 1081 nucleotides long. The record is from RefSeq and is a predicted model, not a curated record. NCBI's taxonomy places the organism in Eukaryota, Metazoa, Chordata, Actinopteri, Salmoniformes, Salmonidae.